AGUGAACGCUGGCGGUAGGCCUAACACAUGCAAGUCGAACGGCAGCACAGUAAGAGCUUGCUCUUACGGGUGGCGAGUGGCGGACGGGUGAGGAAUACAUCGGAAUCUACUUUUUCGUGGGGGAUAACGUAGGGAAACUUAUGCUAAUACCGCAUACGACCUACGGGUGAAAGCAGGGGAUCUUCGGACCUUGCGCGAUUGAAUGAGCCGAUGUCGGAUUAGCUAGUUGGCGGGGUAAAGGCCCACCAAGGCGACGAUCCGUAGCUGGCAUGAGAGGAUGAUCAGCCACACUGGAACUGAGGCACGGCCCAGACUCCUACGGUGGGCAGCAGUGGGGAAUAUUAGACAAUGGGGGCAAGCCUGAUCCAGCCAUACCGCGUGAGUGAAGAAGGCCUUCGGGUGGUAAAGCCCUUUUGUUGGGAAAGAAAAGCAGCAGGUUAAUACCCCGCUGUUCUGACGGUACCCAAAGAAUAAGCACCGGCUAACUUCGUG
Molecule: ribosomal RNA, 492 nt
Filed under: uncultured bacterium
Lineage: Bacteria
Description: partial 16S ribosomal RNA
Rfam family: Bacterial small subunit ribosomal RNA
Source: RNAcentral